This is a long non-coding RNA of Raphanus sativus (radish), 1429 nucleotides long. RefSeq lists it as uncharacterized. The transcript is spliced from 3 exons. The record is from RefSeq and is a predicted model, not a curated record. NCBI's taxonomy places the organism in Eukaryota, Viridiplantae, Streptophyta, Magnoliopsida, Brassicales, Brassicaceae.
CGCUGUUUGAGCUCCAACGUCGUUGUGCCUCUUCAAAUCUCACCACCUCUGAACUACGCCUCUGUAAUUGCUUCCAUUUUCAUGUAUACAUUAAUCCUAGCAUUUAGCAAACCACUCCUCCCACUUUCUCGCAUUUACUCCAUUAAGAUCCACCCUUCUAUUAUGUCUACCUCUCUGCCUCUUCCAUGGUUACUGAGGAAAUCUGCACAUAUAAAAAAAGAUGUAUUCCUUCUUGAAACUCAUUCCCCCUGCUACUCAAAUAUUACAGUGUCUUUCAAACCCACAUUCCAAUUUGGCGAAAACCUCUCGAUAGCACUGCUUCUCUCUUUCUCUCGCAGUUUACCUCAGGAAACUCAAUUGAUUGCACUUAAAGUUUUCCCAUUUCUAAUUACAUUUGUGAAAAGCGAGUAAAUAGAAGGUAAGACCAGUUUACUAUUUUUUGAGAUCGAAGAAUUACAAGAAACAGAUUGUGAAGAUCAUGAUCAAGGCAGUGAUAAUGACGAACACACAAGGCACGCUUACACAUUUUUUUAAUGAAUUCUUUACGAUUGUUUGGUGAUAUUUCUUCUUUUUUGCAGAUUUUAUUUCGUCUAUCGAUCUCGACCGGUUUUCAUCUGCAGCGUGUUUUGAAUUUUAACAGUUCCAGUUUACGAUCGUGUUUUUAAUGGUUUCUGGAUUUUUAACACUAUCAUUACGUUCACAGUAUUGUGCAGUAGAUCUGAGAGCGUAAGAAAUUGUAAAAAUUGAUUCUUUUUUCAUUGGGUAAAGUAACAUUAGCAACAUUUUCUCUUUAUUCCUCCCAGCAUGCCUCCCAAUCUCUCUUGCAAUAUGUGUCUAUAUGUUCAAUCGCUAGCACCAAUCAAGAAUCGUAUCUCAAAUGUGAACUAAAACUAUAUUUCUUUGCAGGUUUAACCCAGUCAGAAAUCAAAGCUACAAGAAGGGAUGGGGAAAAUAAAAAUCAGUGGCUCUCAAGGAUCUACGAAGAUAUGGAAGAUUUUCUUGUAAAGCAAUUAUAAGAAGCACCCAAGACAAAAACUUCCAAAAAUUAAGUUUGAACAAGGAACAAUAUCAUACAAUGCUCAUUUCAUGUUUCUCUGGCAAGAACCACUAGAUGCGCUUUCUCACAAGCGACUCUUUUUUUUUCAUUGAUGUCAGCUUCUGCAUCGAAUGGAGCCUUUAUUAAUUAGGUAUUGGCUGAAGAACGGUGUAGAGAAUGUGAAAACUAUGAAAAAAUGGCGUCACUUAAUGAAAGGACGUAGGAAUACCAAAGACAAGUUGAUUGAGAAAAUAUGAACUCAAUUGAUUCACUUGCAGGGAUGGCAUGAUAAUACCUUUUUGUACUGAGGUGUACUCACACCUAAUAUCUUUAUAUUGUUUUUAUCUUAUAGAAUACAUUAUCUUAAAUAAAAAUAAAUUAUACAUUGUAGUU